Chiloscyllium plagiosum (whitespotted bambooshark) is the source of this 1167-nucleotide non-coding RNA. The record is from RefSeq and is a predicted model, not a curated record. NCBI's taxonomy places the organism in Eukaryota, Metazoa, Chordata, Chondrichthyes, Orectolobiformes, Hemiscylliidae.
UCAACGUGGACAAGUUGGACUGAAGGAUGUGUUUCCUCACUGUACAUCUCUAUGACUCUUGUAACAUUUAGUGUGAUCUUAUUAUUUACAUCUUUGCUGGUUAACUUCUGAAGUUUUCUGAAGUUCUUUUUUGUCAAUUAAAUUUUUUUUCUUGGUCCCAAGCUUGACACUUCAAGACUCUGGAUAACCUGCAGCAUGAUUAGAUAAGGCCAAAGCACUUAUCCCUGCUCAGCAAGAUCCUUGGGUGGACAUCCUAUCCCUAUUUAAUUAUUUAUAUCUUUCCACUAUUCUGUUUGAAAGAUAUGAAAGACCAAUGCUACUUGUUGUUUGAUCUUUCCUGCAAAUGUAUACACCAUUUCCUGAUAAUCGAAGCAAACAUCAAUCCAUUCAUUCUAGUACUAGGCUUCUUAAAUGUAUACCUCUUACUUCCCAUAUCGAUCAUUAUCUGUAUUACAGCCAGAUAAGUAAAAUCCAAGAUAAAGAAAAUAUGCACUUGUGUAUAUUAUCAGUUCUGUUGUUGCUAAUUUCUGGUGGACAUUACAGGAACACCUGCAGAACUUCAUCAUGAAUGUGAAUUUGCUGCCUUGAUCUUGCCUAUCGUUAGACUGUUCUUACUGCUAUUCAUCAUUAGCCUUUUUCAUAUUCUUAAUAAUAUUAUUUAUAAAGAUUUUUUUGCUUAUUAGAUAAUUUUCUUAGCCACUUGGGAUUCUACAAAGACGUUGGAGUAAGAUUCAGUAUCACAGUUAUUCGUCUAUAAAGUGUGAAAUCAUACCAAGUCAUUUCAAUGCUUCCACAGAAAAGAAAAUUCUCAAGGAACAGUUACUGGAAUGAGACAAUUUUGAAUUCCAGAUUGGUGUUCCAUGAUGUGAAACUCUGGCAAAAAUGACAAAUAAUAAAUAAUUUCAAACGACUUGUUCUUUAGUUGACUGCUGAGUGAAUUCUUGUUCCUAAGAAGAGAUGUUUGACACAAAGCUGAGAGGUCUUUUGGUGGAAAGUUUGUUUACCUUCUUCAGGACUAAGGACCAGGAGACUUCAUUAUCUACUGGGUGGUUCCAAGACUUUCUGCCUGGUGGAUUUAAGAAGCUCCUUGUUUUCAAAUGCAGCAGAAUAUGCAUAUGAAAGUUAGUUUUGCUGUACUGCACUUUUCAAUAAAGAAGUCAACCUCAA